AUUGUUUCUCGGCCUUUUGGCUAAGAUCAAGUGUAGUACAUGUGAUACACAUAUAACUUCUUUAUCCAUUCAUCCACU
Molecule: small nuclear RNA, 78 nt
Filed under: Pteropus alecto (black flying fox)
Lineage: Eukaryota; Metazoa; Chordata; Mammalia; Chiroptera; Pteropodidae
Description: U2 spliceosomal RNA
Source: Rfam by way of RNAcentral